Molecule: non-coding RNA, 275 nt
Filed under: Trichlorobacter lovleyi
Lineage: Bacteria; Pseudomonadati; Thermodesulfobacteriota; Desulfuromonadia; Geobacterales; Geobacteraceae
Source: RNAcentral
GAAAUAAGGGAAUCAGAUAGCACACUUCAUACACCGAAUGGAAGCGAGGAAGAGGGGUGCCGCCCGGUAUCGUGCCAUCCCCCCGCUGCCCCGCAGCCGUAAAGGGAACGAACGUCCAACCUGCAUUAGUUUCGCCGGUUUCAGUGCAAGGAUGCUAGCAACGACAGCGCCUUGAAAUGAAAGCGGCCCACAGGUAAAGCCACUGGGAGUAAUCCUGGGAAGGCGGGCAAGUAGGCAGCCCUGAGCCGGAAUACCGCUCCAUUUGCAAGCCUCGG